AAUACGUUCCCGGGCCUUGUACACACCGCCCGUCAAGCCAUGGAAGCCGGGGUACCUAAAGUCGGUGGCCUAACCGCAAGGAGGAGCCGCCUAGGGUAAACUGGUGACUGGGGCU
Molecule: ribosomal RNA, 115 nt
Filed under: uncultured bacterium
Lineage: Bacteria
Description: partial 16S ribosomal RNA
Rfam family: Bacterial small subunit ribosomal RNA
Source: RNAcentral